AAACUUAAAGGAAUUGACGGGGACCCGCACAAGCAGCGGAGCGUGUGGUUUAAUUCGUUGCUACACGAAGAACCUUACCUGGGUUUGACAUAUAGGUUGUAGGGAACUGAAAAGGGACCGACCCUUCGGGGAGCCUAUACAGGUGUUGCAUGGCUGUCGUCAGCUCGUGUCGUGAGAUGUUCGGUUAAGUCCGCUAACGAGCGUAACCCUCGUCGUAUGUUAUAUGUGUCAUACGAGACUGCCGGUAAAAGCCGGAGGAAGGUGAGGAUGAUGUCAAGUCAGCAUGACCUUUAUAUCCAGGGCUACACACACGCUACAAUGGUCUGUACAAUGGGUAGCCAAGCCGCGAGGCGGAGCCAAUCCUGAAAGCAGGCCUCAGUUCAGAUUGCAGUCUGCAACUCGACUGCAUGAAGCCGGAGUUGCUAGUAACCGCAGGUCAGCAAUACUGCGGUGAAUACGUUCCCGGGUCUU
Molecule: ribosomal RNA, 471 nt
Filed under: uncultured Anaerolineaceae bacterium
Lineage: Bacteria; Bacillati; Chloroflexota; Anaerolineae; Anaerolineales; Anaerolineaceae
Description: bacterial SSU rRNA
Rfam family: Bacterial small subunit ribosomal RNA
Source: RNAcentral